Streptomyces autolyticus is the source of this 75-nucleotide non-coding RNA. The record is from Rfam. Lineage: Bacteria; Bacillati; Actinomycetota; Actinomycetes; Kitasatosporales; Streptomycetaceae.
CUUGAUCGACCCCAGCCACAGCGGCUGAUCCUCGGACUUCUCCCUGCCAUACGUGGCCAGCAGCGCCUGCGCCUC